Molecule: transfer RNA, 69 nt
Filed under: Eopsaltria georgiana
Lineage: Eukaryota; Metazoa; Chordata; Aves; Passeriformes; Petroicidae
Also listed under: 1 other name
Description: tRNA-Lys
Rfam family: tRNA
About the family: Transfer RNA (tRNA) molecules are approximately 80 nucleotides in length. Their secondary structure includes four short double-helical elements and three loops (D, anti-codon, and T loops).
Source: RNAcentral
CAUUAAGAAGCUAUGGAACAGCGCUAGCCUUUUAAGCUAGAAAUAGGGGGUACACUCCCCCCUUAAUGA